AAAGGCACAUGUGUCCAAAAAAUGUACAUAAGCCCAAGGUACUUUGGAAGGAUAUUCUAACAGGACAAUGGAAAGGUCCUGACCCAGUGAUUUUCUGGAGUCGGGGAUCUGUUUGUGUGUUUCCACAGGACGAACAGCAGCCAAUUUGGAUUCCAGAGAGACUAACUAAAGCGAUUUCUACAGACCAAAAAGAAGAUGAUUUGGCUCAAAUCCAUAACAGCUGAUAUCCAGAACUCCAGUUUGGCUAUCCUUACAUAUGCGACAGUGGUUCUCCCACACCUAGAGGCUAAUGAAUAAUGAACACCAUUAAGGCCUAUUUCAAAUGUAAGAAACCUUGGGGCUUGCUUGUGGGAAUACCUUCAGACCCAUAUGCAAGUUACAGGAAGAAGGAUGGGAUAUCAAAAGAAGAGUCAAACCCAGGUGGUAACCAGGAUGCUUUUUUCAAUAUCUAUUUUAUUAUUGCCCUUUCCCACAUCAUGAAGUUCUAUUUUGUUUUUUGAGCUCAUACAGACCUAGGUUAAUGUUUUUCUGAUCAGUUCUAUUUUUUGACUGUGGAGUUUUUGAGCAUUGCAAUGGGGAUUUCACCUGUGAAAAGCUACAAGGCGUUUACUAUUAUGUUAUGUGUUGUAUGUAUUGUGUUAUGUGUGCACACUUGUGUUAUGUGUUGUAUGUCUGUAUGUGCGUAUGUCCAUAUAUCAUUUAUGAGGAGCGCUCAUGAAAAAAUGGAUCCAAAUUUUUUUUUUAUUCACGUGAUUUAAAUGGUUUAAUUUAAAUUAGGUAAAUAGCUGUUGAGGAUUGUUUUAAAAGGUGGUUAACAGAUCUGUUUGUUUACUUUCACCUUUCCUUUUCAUUAUAUCUAAUUCUGUUCAGGAUACUAAAUUGUUUAGAAAAUUGUUUUUUUCUUUUUUAGUGCCUGCUGGAAUGUUACAUAAUUUUUUUUUAGCCAUCACUGCCAGAAUUUCUAUCUUCAUCCCAGUGCUGGUGAAGACAAAGAUAAAACCAAACUACAGCUUCUGCGAUAGCUAUCACUACAAACUGUAUAAACUGAUGCAUCAAUGAAUAAUGUAACUCAACAAGUGAUACUCAAUCAAGGAGUCGAUUUACUUUGGGAGGUAAUGGAUAUAUUAAUGGAUUCCUCUGCUUUGAACUACUUGCAAAACUUGCCUGGACUAUGUAUCACUUGUAUGCAUUGUGAAUUAUCUGUUUGUGCAGCGAAUUGUGGUAGUGCCGGGGUAUCUUUGCUGAUGGUGUCAUCAAUGGUACAAUUUUUCCAAAAGGAGCCGUCAAUGGCUUGGUAUCAUGGUGUUUUGUAUCCUCCCCUUUCUGCUUGUAGCAGGUUAUUUAUGGUGUUUGUGUAAAAACCACUAUCCACAAGUAUGGCUAAAUGCUGGGCCGGUAGUCAAUGACGGGUAAGAUCCAAUUGCAAUGGUACCAAUCUAAGACAGGAGGCUGACGCCUUGAGGUCAGCUCAUCCAAUGAUGGGUAAGGACCAUAUAUAGUAUUGGACAACCUAAGACAGGCACGGUCCCUAAGCCACAUGCUUGUUGUUUAAUUAAACAGAAGGCGGGAGAUGUUGAGAGCCGCAGCCCAGUCGGGAUGGCGCCUGGCAUUUUGCCAGGGGGAGUGGUUGAGAGGUGGCGCCAGGGAGCCAUUAGGAUGGUGAUGGUUGCGUUCUCACGGAGUUCCUGUUGAGUUCCGGUUGAGCUCUCGCGGAGUUCCUGGAGAGUUUGCAGGGGUGGCGUUUGCGGGGUUCGGAAAUAAAGUUCGUUCCUGCUUGAAUCUACAAGUGGCUCGUGACCUCCCGGUUUCUCAUCAAGAUCCUAUAUCAUUUCACAAACAUUGGAACAUCGAUCCAGUGAAGGUGUGUUUCACGUGGUUGGCACCCAAUGUGGAGGAAAAAGCCACACAAAAGACACAAAAUGGUUUUAGAGAAGAGUUGUGAAGCCUGGCGGCCAGGGAGCAUGGAUUGCGGUAGGGAGCAGAAAUGGAAACUUGACAUUGUCCCACUGAACUGAGCUCAUACUGCUACUGUGUGCCACCUGGCAUUGGAUACUUCCUGACUUUAGGUGCAAAUCAUGUAUAUGGCAUAUAUUUUUUUUUGAUGGGGGAAGAGAAGGAAUGAUGGGUGAAAACAAUGUUGUUGUUCUUGUUUUCCUGAGAAAAUCACGUUUUUUUGACUAAUGCAAUUAUUGUAAUACGGUGAUUACUGCACAUUUUUUAGGCUGUGAUAUAGCAGCUUUAUUACUGUCACAGGAAAAUAAAUGGUACCAGAAGUCCCUUUCUUGUUCUUUCUCUUCAUUAAAUGAGUUUCAUUUGGGCAAGGCACUGAAGAGAAGUGAUUAUCGUUCUGUAUAAAGAAGAGUGAAUGUUGUUUGACAUGGAUAUUGCCAAUGAUAUGAACUUUUAAACCUUUUUAUUG
This 2419-nucleotide long non-coding RNA is filed under the name Marmota monax (woodchuck). The record is from RNAcentral. Lineage: Eukaryota; Metazoa; Chordata; Mammalia; Rodentia; Sciuridae.